CAACUUUCAGCAACGGAUCUCUUGGCUCUCGCAUCGAUGAAGAACGCAGCGAAAUGCGAUAAGUAAUGUGAAUUGCAGAAUUCAGUGAAUCAUCGAAUCUUUGAACGCACCUUGCGCCCCUUGGUAUUCCGAGGAGCAUGCCUGUUUGAGUGUCAUUA
RNAcentral lists this ribosomal RNA (158 nucleotides) under Cortinarius aff. pallidus 4 FS-2012. Its description in RNAcentral is "5.8S ribosomal RNA". It matches the Rfam family "5.8S ribosomal RNA". Rfam says of the family: 5.8S ribosomal RNA (5.8S rRNA) is a component of the large subunit of the eukaryotic ribosome. It is transcribed by RNA polymerase I as part of the 45S precursor that also contains 18S and 28S rRNA. RNAcentral also lists the same sequence under 1 other name. The record is from RNAcentral. Lineage: Eukaryota; Fungi; Basidiomycota; Agaricomycetes; Agaricales; Cortinariaceae.